UCACCUUCCCAAAAAUUAAUUAGAAAAAAAUUUUUUUUUAAAAUGCCCAAAAGGAGAUUUGAACUC
RNAcentral lists this transfer RNA (66 nucleotides) under Hemiselmis andersenii. Lineage: Eukaryota; Cryptophyceae; Cryptomonadales; Hemiselmidaceae. The record is from RNAcentral.